AACUUUUUGUGGUAUGGGGACCAGUGUUUAUAAUACUUACCAUUGAUUUUCAUUGAUUUUUGUAGUGUGAUAUGCAGUUUGUUUCUUUUCCUCUUCCUAUAUUGAUUUUUAGAUCUAUCUUUUGGAUCAGCACCAACACUACGAUAGGCUGCUUGAGUAUCUUGACACGACCACUCCAUUUUCUGGAUUUGGCAUAAAAAAGAUGGGAGAGUCUAAGGUUCAACGAGUUAAUACUUAUGGCAUGCAGUGUGCUCAUCUGCAGAUGGACGACAGACAAUCAAAAACAGCUUUAGAAGAGGGAAAACUCGAAG
Long non-coding RNA from Camellia sinensis, 311 nucleotides. RefSeq lists it as uncharacterized. NCBI's taxonomy places the organism in Eukaryota, Viridiplantae, Streptophyta, Magnoliopsida, Ericales, Theaceae. The record is from RefSeq and is a predicted model, not a curated record.